UGCAGCAGAGCAGCUCGUGUCUGGAGCUCGCGUCUGAGUCUGAAUAUUCAAAUAAAAUCUCAUGAGCUCUUGGGAUUGAAUCGUGUUUCUAACUCGCUGCGAUGGUUUCAAAGCUCCCGAGCAGGCUGCAGUACUUAAAGCAACCAAUCGGGGGCGUCCCUGCUUCACCACAGUCAGACUGGAGAAAAGGCAGGUUAAAAAAGACCACGUUCAUCCUUUUGUUUCCACAUGGAGCCAAACACCAGCAUGUCCGCAGUCUUUUGCAGCACUGCAGCGGAUGAGGAUUUAAUGAGAGUAUAGCUUCACUGCAGCUUCACUAGGACCUCAGGGCCAUGAGAAGCACCUGCUCCCUGAUCUGCUGCUUGGAGUAAGGGCAGCGCUUCUUCCUCUUCACAGAGGACUCUGCUGGAGAAAAGGUGAAAAAGAUGAAACAUGCAUUAGGAAGAAAACAGAUAGUGGAUGCAGAAGAGAAAUAUUGGUCCAUGAAUUGAUAGAAAAAAACAUUAAAUAUGUCCAGAAAGCCAAAAUCUCGUCAUCAGGGGAAAAGGGGACAAGGCCCAUCUCCUCCAAACAUCCAACAAGAGAUGAGCAACAACUUUAAAACUGACCUACAAGAAUAAACUCACUGAUUUGAAUUAAAUUAAAUUAAUUUAAACAUUUGAUUUGAGGUGAAUGUCAAGGUCUGAGUCAAAACGAUAAGUCCAGGAAACAUGACCUUCAUGUUGUGCAACUGUGAAGCUAGAGGUCAUCGUAUCGUCUUCAUAUUUUCAUGCAUUUGUAGAUGUUCAGCUCAUAAGUUAUGGAGGAGAAACACAUGCAUCCGUGCAAAACAAAAUUAAAACCGGCAGAAAAGUGGCAGACUGGGUGAUUUAAUCGUAGAAAUCGAUUCGACGAGAUUAGCAGCAGCUGAUUACCAAUGCUAGCUUUUGCAUGACUC
Long non-coding RNA from Paralichthys olivaceus (Japanese flounder), 937 nucleotides. RefSeq lists it as uncharacterized. NCBI's taxonomy places the organism in Eukaryota, Metazoa, Chordata, Actinopteri, Pleuronectiformes, Paralichthyidae. The record is from RefSeq and is a predicted model, not a curated record.